UGAGGAAUAUUGGUCAAUGGGCGAGAGCCUGAACCAGCCAAGUCGCGUGAAGGAAGACUGCCUUAUGGGUUGUAAACUUCUUUUAUACAGGAAUAAAAAGGCUUACGUGUAGGCCAUUGCAAGUACUGUAUGAAUAAGCAUCGGCUAACUCCGUGCCAGCAGCCGCGGUAAUACGGAGGAUGCGAGCGUUAUCCGGAUUUAUUGGGUUUAAAGGGUGCGCAGGCGGGCUUUUAAGUCAGCGGUGAAAUCUGGACGCUUAACGUCCAAACUGCCAUUGAAACUGGGAGUCUUGAGUAUGGAUGAAGUAGGCGGAAUUCGUUGUGUAGCGGUGACAUGCAUAGAUAUAACGAGGAACUCCGAUUGCGUAGGCAGCUUACUAAGCCAUAACUGACGCUCAUGCACGAAAGCGUGGGGAUCAAACAGGAUUAGAUACCCUGGUAGUCCACGCCGUAAACGAUGAUUACUAGUUGUAUGCGAUAUGAUAGUAUGUGACUAAGCGAAAGCGAUAAGUAAUCCACCUGGGGAGUACGCCGGCAACGGUGAAACUCAAAUGAAUUGACGGGGUCAUAGCUG
This 573-nucleotide ribosomal RNA is filed under the name uncultured bacterium. RNAcentral's name for it is "partial 16S ribosomal RNA". It matches the Rfam family "Bacterial small subunit ribosomal RNA", at positions 355 to 932 of the family's 1533-position model. The record is from RNAcentral.